RNAcentral lists this ribosomal RNA (1348 nucleotides) under uncultured bacterium. Its description in RNAcentral is "bacterial SSU rRNA". It matches the Rfam family "Bacterial small subunit ribosomal RNA", at positions 28 to 1381 of the family's 1533-position model. The record is from RNAcentral.
GACGAACGCUGGCGGCGUGCUUAACACACGCAAGUCGAACGAUGAUCCGGAGCUUGCUUCGGGGAUUAGUGGCGAACGGGUGAGUAACACGUGAGUAACCUGCCCUUGACUCUGGGAUAAGCGCUGGAAACGGCGUCUAAUACCGGAUACGACCUGCCCCGGCAUCGGGUGCGGGUGGAAAGUUUUUCGGUCAAGGAUGGACUCGCGGCCUAUCAGCUUGUUGGUGAGGUAAUGGCUCACCAAGGCGACGACGGGUAGCCGGCCUGAGAGGGUGACCGGCCACACUGGGACUGAGACACGGCCCAGACUCCUACGGGAGGCAGCAGUGGGGAAUAUUGCACAAUGGGCGAAAGCCUGAUGCAGCAACGCCGCGUGAGGGAUGACGGCCUUCGGGUUGUAAACCUCUUUUAGUAGGGAAGAAGGGCCUUCGGGUUUGACGGUACCUGCAGAAAAAGCACCGGCUAACUACGUGCCAGCAGCCGCGGUAAUACGUAGGGUGCAAGCGUUGUCCGGAAUUAUUGGGCGUAAAGAGCUCGUAGGCGGUUUGUCGCGUCUGCUGUGAAAACCCGAGGCUCAACCUCGGGCCUGCAGUGGGUACGGGCAGACUAGAGUGCGGUAGGGGAGAAUGGAAUUCCUGGUGUAGCGGUGGAAUGCGCAGAUAUCAGGAGGAACACCGAUGGCGAAGGCAGUUCUCUGGGCCGUAACUGACGCUGAGGAGCGAAAGCGUGGGGAGCGAACAGGAUUAGAUACCCUGGUAGUCCACGCCGUAAACGUUGGGCGCUAGAUGUGGGGACCUUUCCACGGUUUCCGUGUCGCAGCUAACGCAUUAAGCGCCCCGCCUGGGGAGUACGGCCGCAAGGCUAAAACUCAAAGGAAUUGACGGGGGCCCGCACAAGCGGCGGAGCAUGCGGAUUAAUUCGAUGCAACGCGAAGAACUUUACCAAGGCUUGACAUAUACGAGAACGGGCCAGAAAUGGUCAACUCUUUGGACACUCGUAAACAGGUGGUGCAUGGUUGUCGUCAGCUCGUGUCGUGAGAUGUUGGGUUAAGUCCCGCAACGAGCGCAACCCUCGUUCUAUGUUGCCAGCACGUUAUGGUGGGAACUCAUAGGAGACUGCCGGGGUCAACUCGGAGGAAGGUGGGGAUGACGUCAAAUCAUCAUGCCCCUUAUGUCUUGGGCUUCACGCAUGCUACAAUGGCCGGUACAAAGGGCUGCGAUACCGUAAGGUGGAGCGAAUCCCAAAAAGCCGGUCUCAGUUCGGAUUGAGGUCUGCAACUCGACCUCAUGAAGUCGGAGUCGCUAGUAAUCGCAGAUCAGCAACGCUGCGGUGAAUACGUUCCCGGGCCU